AUGGCAAGGCAUUUGUUCAAUCGUAUUCGAGAGGGAGUGGUUGCUCAUGACCCAUACUUCGAGUGCAAGACGGAUGCCCUUGGCAAGCUUGGAUUCUCCUCUUACCAGAAAUGCACUGCGGCCAUCCGCAUGCUUGCAUAUGGUAUUCCAGGCGAUCUGGUGGACGAGUAUGUGCGUAUGAGUGAGACAACAUGUCUGAUGUCAAUGUGCAAGUUUUGCCAGGCUGUGAUCGAGGUGUUUGGCCCAGAGUACUUGAGGCAGCCAACUGCCGCUGAUACAGAUAGAUUGUUGGCGACCAAUGCAGCUAGAGGCUUUCAAGGCAUGCUUGGCAGCAUUGAUUGUAUGCAUUGGGAGUGGAAGAACUGUCCAUUUGCUUGGCAGGGCCAGUACAAGGGGCAUGUUAACGGGUGCACUAUCAUAUUAGAAGCAGUGGCAUCGCAAGAUCUUUGGAUAUGGCAUUCUUUCUUCGGUAUGGCAGGUUCUCACAAUGAUAUCAACGUGCUGCAACAUUCUCCAGUCUUCGCGAGGCUUGCAGAAGGAAACUCUCCACCUGUCAACUUUGAGAUCAACAGCCACCAGUACAACAAAGGAUACUAUCUAGCAGAUGGCAUAUAUCCUCAGUGGUCAACUUUUGUGAAGACAAUCUCGAAACCCCAAGGUGAGAAGAGAAAAAGAUUUGCCCAAAUGCAAGAGAGUGUUAGAAAGGAUGUGGAAUGUGCUUUUGGUGUGCUUCAAUCCCGGUGGGGUAUCGUUCGAAACCCUGCACUGUCAUGGGAUGAAAGAAAGCUUUGGGAGGUGAUGACUGCUUGUGUGAUCAUGCACAACAUGAUCGUCGAGGAUGAGCGUGAUGAGAGUAUCUUCGACCAAGGAUUUGAUUAUGAAGGUGAAAAUAUUGAGCCCCUGCACCAAGACCCAACCACAUUUGAACAGUUUGUCCAAUUCCACCGUGAGAUGCGUGAUUGGCACACUCAUUUGAAUCUUCAAAAUGACUUGGUUGAGCACGUCUGGGAUCACAUUGGCAACCAAUAG
RNAcentral lists this ribosomal RNA (1029 nucleotides) under Triticum aestivum (bread wheat). RNAcentral's name for it is "partial small subunit ribosomal RNA". The record is from RNAcentral. Lineage: Eukaryota; Viridiplantae; Streptophyta; Magnoliopsida; Poales; Poaceae.